Long non-coding RNA from Chloebia gouldiae (Gouldian finch), 1583 nucleotides. The record is from Ensembl. NCBI's taxonomy places the organism in Eukaryota, Metazoa, Chordata, Aves, Passeriformes, Passeridae.
CUGUCUGCCUGUCUGUCUGUCUGUCCUGGCCCAGCGAGCGGACGCGCAGAGCGAGCGGCUGCGGCGGGAGCUGCGGGCGCUGCGGGACGAGCGCACGGAGCUGCUGCGGCGAGCCAGCGCCCUGCGCGGUGCCAACGACCGCCAGGCCGGCCACAUCCGCCACAUCCAAGAUAAAUUGCAAAAAGAACAAGAGCAGAAAGUAAUACUGGAGGCAACAAUCAGCCAUUUGCAGAACUUGAUUCACAACCAGAACAACCAACAGAAGAGCCAGGAGGUGACGGUGCAAAGGAAAGACCAGGUUUUCACCACACAGACCCCAUCUCUCAUUCCUGCCAAGGAAAAACAAAGUGCUCUGUCAGAGCACCCUGAGGAGGAGGAGAAGGAGGAGGAGGAGGAGGAGGAGGAGGAGGAGGGAACUGAAAGUCUGAAGGAUGAGAUGCAGAAAUGGACAUUCCAGCUCACAGCACAGGAGAACGAGGUACCCGAGGAUGCUGGGGCAGAGCCGGGCCGUGCCCGGCCGCGGGCGAAGCGCUGCGGCGGCUGCAGCAGCCCAGGGGCGUGCAGAGCCCGGGGCGAGGGCCCCUGGCUGUGCUCGCGGUGCUCGGAGCUGCGCUCGGAGCUGGAGGCGCUCAGCCAGGAGUACCAGUCCUGCCUGACCCGGCUGCGGCAGUGCCGCGACGAGCUGCGCCGCUCCCACGGCGGCCAGGCGCAGAGACGGCGCGGUCCCUGCAUCCCUCUCCUGCUGGCAGUGGCAGCAGUGGCCAUCGCCGCCUUCCUGGCGAGUUACCGGCUGUGAAGGAGCUCCUUGGUGACUGACUUCACUGCAGGCACUGACCUCUGCUUCACCAAAAGCAACCUGAGCUGACCUCACCUUCUGUUUUGUACGUGCACGUUGGGUUCGUAUCCCGAGCUGUCUCACUGCAGACAGCUCCCGUGACUUCAGCCCUUCCCUCGGCUGCCCUGGUUACUCUGCUCCUGCCCAAGGCUGCCCUGGCAGUGCCCGAGGCACCGAGGGACAGAGCCCCUCUGCUGCUGUGGCCUGCACAGGGCGAGAGGGACAGGGCGUCCUGGGCAUCCUGCGCCCUUGGCAUCCAGCCUGCCCGGGGUUUAUACUCCCCAGGUUCUCCUCCUGCAUUUACUGCCUCCCUAAAUGGGAGGUACUUAGUCCUGAGCCAUCGCCACUCUUACUGACAAAGGAGCCCGGCUCAGGGGGGCUCUUCAGCACAGUCCCCUCACGUGCCCUGAGCAAUUCUCCCAGCUCACACCCAGCGGGCCCUGUUCUGUCCCACUCCUCCAGCCUCUCCUGUGGCCGAGCAUCCCCACAGCCACAGCUGCUUCCCCUCCACUGCCAGCACCACAAGAAUUCACCAGAGACGGGGAUUUAAAGUCCCUUUUGCAGCCACACUGCGGAGAUUCUACAGCAGCACUUGUCCCUCAUUCAUGCGCAGGCUCAGACACAAUGCAGGCCAUGACAUCACCUCACAUGGGAAGUAAAUAUACCUGAAAUAUAAACGUGACAUACACACACUGUACACAUAGUAAAUACACAUGGAGACUACAAUAAACUUCACUAAUUCAAAGCA